This 485-nucleotide ribosomal RNA is filed under the name uncultured bacterium. RNAcentral's name for it is "partial 16S ribosomal RNA". It matches the Rfam family "Bacterial small subunit ribosomal RNA", at positions 29 to 523 of the family's 1533-position model. The record is from RNAcentral.
AGUGAACGCUGGCGGCGUGCUUAACACAUGCAAGUCGAACGAGAACGGAAUAUAGCUUGCUAUAUUUGUCAGCUAAGUGGCGCACGGGUGAGUAAUGUAUAGAUAACCUGCCCUUAAGGAAGGAAUAACAGUUGGAAACGACUGCUAAUGCCCUAUAUGCCUUUAAUACAUAAGUAUACAAGGGAAACGCUUUAGUGCUUAAGGAUGGGUCUGUAUGGUAUCAGCUUGUUGGUGAGGUAAUGGCUCACCAAGGCUAUGACGCCUAACUGGUUUGAGAGGAUGAUCAGUCACACUGGAACUGAGACGCGGUCCAGACUCCUACGGGAGGCAGCAGUGGGGAAUAUUGCACAAUGGACGAAAGUCUGAUGCAGCAACGCCGCGUGGAGGAUGACACAUUUCGGUGCGUAAACUCCUUUUAUAUAGGAAGAUAAUGACGGUACUAUAUGAAUAAGCACCGGCUAACUCCGUGCCAGCCGCCGCGGUAA